GUACUGUCUAUGGUUUUUUAUAGUAAAUGCUUGGUCUAAAAAGAAUUGUUUUGCGAAUGACAAGCACUUGCUGUGGAACUUACUAUUUUUAGUUUUAAACACAGCUUCACAUGAGGGAUCCCGCAGAAUAAUUGUAUGCUGGUGAUUGCUGAGAGAGUUUGCAUUGGAUAAGUGCUUUCCUUUGGCCAAAAACUGGCUCCAGGCAAACCUGCCUGAAGUUCGUUUGUCCUGAAGAGCGAUUACACCCAGCAUAUGAGAUGAGUAACUUUGGGCUGGGCAAUUCCAAGGUGAGAAGAUUGAAGACUGACGCCAAAGAAGUCUGACAGUGCUAAAACAUUGAAGUACUGAAAGGGAUAACAUCUUAACUGAGGCUUCUGCAAGGAAUUGCCCUUGUGCUGCUUCUAAAUCUUUCUGUUCAAGAUAAAUAAAAACAUGAUGCUAGAAAACGUCUUGACCCUGUAUCACUGGUUUUUCUUUCAGUGAGCAAGUGAACUAGCGUAGUGCCCUGAACCACAACAAAGCUGCAGUGGGGCCAGCCACCACCACCCUCAGCAGGCUGUGAAGUUAAUAUGCCUCCUACUAAAGACCUAAGAGACUUACGAGCUUAUGUCUGAAGGAGCUGCCACUUGGUGCACACACACUAGAAUCCUCUGCCAUGCCUUCCUGAUGGGGACAAUUUUCCUUAUCCACUGCAUCACGAUAAAGGAGGAGCUACUCCAACUGUAGAUUUGUGUAGAUACCACACCUAAAAGAUGAUGAUGUAGGCGCACUCUUAGGAAUGAGAGCCCCUCAAAUUUCAUUCAGAGAACAUAGAGCCAGAUCCAAAAUGCUUUAAAGAGGAGAAGGAACUCUUUCAUUGGUUUCAGCAGACCUUGGAUCAGGCUUGUAACAGACAAAACUCUGAAUGUGAACAAAUCAGCAAAGCGUAAAUCCCAACUUCAGUUUGACAUCUGAGUCCUAUGUUUUUUUUAGGGCAUCUUAUGCUGUGUACCUUGGAACAUUCCCAGUGGCUUCACCAGUGGUCAAAAACUGCUUUUCCUGCGUUGAGAGAGCAUCAGCAUCUCCAAUAUGCAAGACAUAUUCCUUAUUAAAUAAGAUACAAGACCCAG
RNAcentral lists this long non-coding RNA (1109 nucleotides) under Struthio camelus australis. Its description in RNAcentral is "lncRNA (ENSSCUG00000007577.1)". The record is from RNAcentral. Lineage: Eukaryota; Metazoa; Chordata; Aves; Struthioniformes; Struthionidae.